This 504-nucleotide ribosomal RNA is filed under the name uncultured bacterium. RNAcentral's name for it is "bacterial SSU rRNA". It matches the Rfam family "Bacterial small subunit ribosomal RNA", at positions 15 to 507 of the family's 1533-position model. The record is from RNAcentral.
GAUCCUGGCUCAGGAUGAACGCUAGCUACAGGCUUAACACAUGCAAGUCGAGGGGAAACGAUAUUGGAAGCUUGCUUCCGAUAGGCGUCGACCGGCGCACGGGUGAGUAACGCGUAUCCAACCUGCCCACCACUUGGGGAUAACCUUGCGAAAGUAAGACUAAUACCCAAUGAUAUCUCUAGAAGACAUCUGAAAGAGAUUAAAGAUUUAUCGGUGAUGGAUGGGGAUGCGUCUGAUUAGCUUGUUGGCGGGGUAACGGCCCACCAAGGCGACGAUCAGUAGGGGUUCUGAGAGGAAGGUCCCCCACAUUGGAACUGAGACACGGUCCAAACUCCUACGGGAGGCAGCAGUGAGGAAUAUUGGUCAAUGGACGAGAGUCUGAACCAGCCAAGUAGCGUGCAGGAUGACGGCCCUAUGGGUUGUAAACUGCUUUUAUAAGGGAAUAAAGUGAGAGUCGUGACUCUUUUGCAUGUACCUUAUGAAUAAGGACCGGCUAAUUCCGUG